AGGUUGCAUUAAUUUGAACGGCGCAUGGGAAGGAGCUCACAUCAGCACAAAACUGAAGCACUGAAGCCAGCUGACGGUGUUGGAAUUAAUUGGGCCAGGAGGCCGCGGGUCCCCUGGCUUCUGUGGCCGGUCUUUGUGGAUUUUUCUCUUGCUUCUCUCCCAGCAAGUGCUGGGGCUGGGGGGGGGNNNNNNNNNNNNNNNNNGAUUUCUUACACAAGUACUAUAUUUACAACCUCUCUUCCCCCCCCCCCAGACUCCUCCCAUGUGACUCUCACCCCCUCCCAUGUGACCCCUCCCUCUUUAAUCUACAUAUGCAAAUGUAAGUGCCGCCUGCUGCGUUCCUUUCUGGACAGUGCCUCUCUCACCAAACUGCCUUCUGCUGGGACUCUGGGACGGUUCACCAGCUCAAGAUUAUCACACUGAGGACCGAACUUACUUAGGGGGACACACUCAAUCCCUAGCAGCCAGCCUGUCCUCAUCUUCUCCUUCUGACAGCAUUAAGAAGCAGCAACUUGGCUAGGAAACUGAGCUAUGGUUCAAUCUGGUUCAUACUCCAAGCCUUUAGAAGCCACGCUGUCUUGGUGUUUGUGUUUUCUCAAGGUUUUUCUGUUUCCAUGGAGCGAUCCUCCUGCUGUAGUCUCCCAAGUCAUGGGAUUUCAUGCUUACACCACCUAGCUCGGGAAUAUGGAAUUCCUAAGAACUCUAAUUCCUUCCAUAACAGUAUUCAGUUUUGCUUCUUAUUGUCAACGGUAGCCAUUUUUGCAGAGUUCUGGAUUCUUUUUUUGUUAGCAUCAAGGUAAUUUCAGAGCAAUGACUCUUGUAAAUUUAGAGUAUUUACCCAGAAAAAAUGGGGGUUGGGAGGACAAUCUAAUAAAUCAAACCACUUACUAAAACUAGAAUUAGAUAAAAAAAAUGUUAAUUUAAAACUGAAAAAGAAAUGCCCAAAGCUAAGUCUGCCUCCCUUGUCAAGGCCGCCUCUGAGCCCGUCCCCACCAAAGGCUUGGAGUAUAGACUCCACAAACAUUUUUCCAGGGAUCAGCCCAUGCCACCCACGGCUAGCCACAUGGCUCGCCUCCUCUAUUUGAAAAAUAAAAACAAACCGCCUUCAA
RNAcentral lists this long non-coding RNA (1109 nucleotides) under Mus pahari (shrew mouse). RNAcentral describes it as "lncRNA (MGP_PahariEiJ_G0004775.1)". Lineage: Eukaryota; Metazoa; Chordata; Mammalia; Rodentia; Muridae. The record is from RNAcentral.